GAUGAACGCUGGCGGCGUGCCUAAUACAUGCAAGUCGAGCGAACAGACGAGGAGCUUGCUCCUCUGACGUUAGCGGCGGACGGGUGAGUAACACGUGGAUAACCUACCUAUAAGACUGGGAUAACUUCGGGAAACCGGAGCUAAUACCGGAUAAUAUAUUGAACCGCAUGGUUCAAUAGUGAAAGACGGUUUUGCUGUCACUUAUAGAUGGAUCCGCGCCGCAUUAGCUAGUUGGUAAGGUAACGGCUUACCAAGGCAACGAUGCGUAGCCGACCUGAGAGGGUGAUCGGCCACACUGGAACUGAGACACGGUCCAGACUCCUACGGGAGGCAGCAGUAGGGAAUCUUCCGCAAUGGGCGAAAGCCUGACGGAGCAACGCCGCGUGAGUGAUGAGGGUCUUCGGAUCGUAAAACUCUGUUAUUAGGGGAGAACAAAUGUGUAAGUAACUAUGCACGUCUUGACGGUACCUAAUCAGAAAGCCACGGCUAACUACGUG
This 497-nucleotide ribosomal RNA is filed under the name uncultured bacterium. Its description in RNAcentral is "partial 16S ribosomal RNA". It matches the Rfam family "Bacterial small subunit ribosomal RNA", at positions 28 to 507 of the family's 1533-position model. The record is from RNAcentral.